This 253-nucleotide ribosomal RNA is filed under the name uncultured bacterium. RNAcentral describes it as "partial 16S ribosomal RNA". It matches the Rfam family "Bacterial small subunit ribosomal RNA", at positions 524 to 776 of the family's 1533-position model. The record is from RNAcentral.
UACGUAUGGUGCAAGCGUUAUCCGGAUUUACUGGGCGUAAAGGGAGCGCAGGCGGCGCGCCAAGUCUGAUGUGAAACCCCGGGGCUCAACCCCGGGCAUGCAUUGGAAACUGGCGGGCUGGAGUGCCGGAGAGGUAAGCGGAAUUCCUAGUGUAGCGGUGAAAUGCGUAGAUAUUAGGAGGAACACCAGUGGCGAAGGCGGCUUACUGGACGGCAACUGACGCUGUGGCUCGAAAGCGUGGGGAGCAAACAGG